Molecule: long non-coding RNA, 3535 nt
Organism: Diceros bicornis minor
Lineage: Eukaryota; Metazoa; Chordata; Mammalia; Perissodactyla; Rhinocerotidae
Exons: 4
Source: RefSeq, a predicted model, not a curated record
GAUUGCUCUGUAAUAAGUUAUAUGCAUGCUCUAUUUUACUAAGUACUAAGAUCAUACUCCAAAAUGUCUGCAUCCAUUUACACUCUGACUGACAAGAUUUUACAAACACUCACCAACAAGAGAUGCUAUUUGAUGUGCUAUUUCUUCCUAUUUAGAGAUGUAAAAUGAUACCAUGUUGUUAUCCUAAUUUACAUUUGUCUUAUUAGUGAGAUUGAAUAUUGCUUUAUAUAAUUAUUAUUAGCCACCAAUCACAUCCUCACCAGCCAGUACUACUCUGUUUCCUUGACUGCCUCCUUAGCAUCUCCCUGAAUUGUAAAUAUUGGUGUGUCAGAAGGCUCUAUAUUUGAACAUCAUCUCUUCUCAAUCUAUAAUCACUAUCUUGAUUUUUAAAACCAUCAGUCUAGAUGAGAUCACCAUCUAUGUCCUGAUGACUUCCAAAUUUAUAUCUUUAGGCAGGACUUCUCCGUUAUAUCCAACUGCCUCCUUAAUGUGUCCUCUUGAUAUUCAGAAUAUAUCUUUUAAAGAAUCUUUCAAAGAAGAUACACGUUAUGAUAAAAUUUCUGAUAAUUUUUAUGCUGACACUUUAUUUUACCAAAAUAUGUAUAUAUUAGUUCAGAUAAAUAUUAAACCCAUCUUGAUUUCCUGGAAAGAAAGGAAACAACAGAAGGCCCGGCCUGCCAGCUGUUGGGUGGGUUAAAGCUACGAUACUGGAUUUUCAUCUGCAUAAAUACAUGAGCAAUGCUGAAUGACACCGUUUCCAUCUUCCGACACCUCCCUGGCCCUCAUCCACAUGGGAAUUGAACAUCUCAUUGCUUUAUAGUCACGUUUGAUCAAACAUGAUAUUAAUUAUCCAGCUUAAUCUCCUACCUUGAGCAUCAGAACUGGUCUGAAUAAAUUGACUGCCUUGUAAGACUGUCAGCUUUUAAGAGUUGAAUAUUUUCCAUCAAAGAAGAAACUAAAAGAUUUGGACCAUCUUAUCUAAAGACACUUUCCAGACAAGUGUCCACAAUGUUUUGAAUGACUGCAACACUGCAUUAAAUGUAUGAUUGUUCAACUUUGCUACUUUAAAGGAAACAGAACUCAUUUAAAUAAGUGAUCUCCAAUUAUUAGUAUCCCAUUUUUUUGUUACGAAGAUAAUUUUAUUUAGAUUGCGUAUAAAAUAUGUUUUUUAUGUGUAAAACAGAUUUUUUUCUUGUUGAAAUUCGGUGGAGGGAAUGGUAAUGGUGAGAAACCCAGAUGCCAUCUACUCAGUUUUCUCCUGCUUUGCUGAGGCAGCCCCCCAGGGGUCCAUGGAACACUAUUUGGAAAACACUAAUUUAGAUAUCUGAAUUCUCCAACUCUUAUUUGCAGGUAAAAAAGAAAAGAAGGAUGAGGUUUUCACUGACUCUUUCUCCAUAACAUGGGGUUACCACGCCCAGAUUAACUCAUUGUCUCCUAUUACGCAUUUUGUAGAAGAAAAAGACAAGAACAUUUGGCCAUUAUAAUAAAGUAUUCCAGUAACACGUGCAGUUUCCUAACCAUUCAACAAUCUCUUAUCGAGUGGGUGGGAGUUAAGAAACAUCCAUCCUGCCUCUGCACUACAUGCUGGCCUAGGCAUACACUUUUGCAAUGUUGAAAUAUUUUACCUAUGCAUGGUUUGUUGUAUCACAUACGUAUCUUUAUUCAUUUGUUCUACAAAUGCUUUUUAAAACCUACUAUACGCCAGGACCACUGUGAUGGCUUGAAAACAAAGCAAAACAAAAAAGACAAAGUGUCUAGUCUUUUAACACUCAGAGGAACUGCACAACUUAUUCAACUUAUUUUACACAGAGAUAUUUACAAUUAUAAAGGAAAAGUACCCUUUGGCAGUGAAAGUCAUUCCUUAUUUUCAAGUUGGCUAGAAUUACCAGAAAAAAAUGUUGUGUUACAAUCUCAUUGAAUUAGUGAUCCUCAUUGCUUUAAUGAUGUGUGAUAGUUUCUACUUUGAAAUUUUCAGGGACUGAUUGUUGGGGGUAAGAAAGUAACUUGUCCAAACAAACAUAUAUUCUGUAUUUUUUAUUGAUGUCCUCCGUCUGUCUCUUAAUACUGGCUAGUGGUCUUAAAUACAAAAAGAAAAUUGGGUUGAAUUCAGAGAGCGUAUGUGUGAGAUGUGGCCUGAGUACUUCUCAAGGAAAGGCUGGACAUUUUCUAUACUAGUUAUGCUAAAUGAAAUUCAGCCUACCCAGUUUUAUACUUGAAAACUUUUUUUUUUUUUUGUGAGGACGAUCAGCCCUGAGCUAACAUCCAUGCCAAUCCUCCUCUUUUUGCUGAGGAAGACUGGCCCUGGGCUAACACCCGUGCCCAUCUUCCUCCACUUUAUAUGGGACGCCACCACAGCAUGGCCUGACAAGUGGUGCAUUGGUGCGCGCCUGGGAUCCGAACCCGGGCAGCCAGCAGUGGAGCAUGCGCACUUAACCUCUACAUCACGGGGUCGGCCCUUUACUUGAAAACUUUUGAUUGAUGAGAUGAGCUAUUUGUGGAAAGCAAUCAUGUCCUCUGCAUUACUAGUAGCCGCAGUACCAUGGUAAGUGAAUAAUCGGUAUUCAAUACUUUAUUUACUGGCUGAUGGGUUAAAGCCCGAAACUAUUGGCCAUGAAGAUCCUACUAAGAGGGUACUGUUCUAAGAAGCAUAGCUUGAGGGUCAUUAAGUUCUACAACUUUCACUGUUUCUUCAAAAUCAGAUAUUAUGCAAAGGCAUUCUGGACAACUUAUUUCCUGAACUUUUGCCAAAGAAUACCAUUUUCUUCUAAUUCAAACACUAUCAGCUCCAGUAAAUGACAGUCACAGCUGCUUUCUUAGCCCUACUUGCACCCAAGUUUUCAAGAGGGUACACAAUUGCCCUCAGACUUGGUUCUAAAUUUUGUUAAGGAUGUGAUUUUUUAGCUAGGAUGACUCAGAUGAAACCCCUUUUUAAAGAGAUAACUCAGUGGUAUUUAAAGAAAUUCUGUUAUGUUAACUGGAAAAAAAACUUGGUUGGCAAGAAUAUUCAUUCUUCGAACUGUUUUAUGACAUUAGUUGACAGUAUUGCUAUCUGUGACUCGUUCUUAUAUCGGUCUGGUGCUGUGGGUGUGUCAGGUGGUGGUUGCAAAUGCAGUCAUACUUCAUUAGCCUAGCCCUUGCUGAUUCUCGAUUUGGGAUAGUUUCCAAAGGGAACUGGCCGAAGUUUUCUUAUUCUUGUCACCCAAAGAAAUAGAUUGCUAAGCAAAAUAACAGUCUUAAUAAGAUUUUUGGAGUGAUUUUUAUUGAGAAAGAAAAUGUAUUAUACAGGCAGUUUAAACAUUUGUUAGACUGAAAAUCAUUAUUAUCAGACCAUUAUCUGUUCCUUUCCAAUUACUGGCUGUGGGAUCUUAAUUUCCUUGUCUGUAAAACAGUGAUAAUAAUAGUACCUACUUCUUGGUGUUUCACCUCCUUCAUCCAUUACAUGGUAGUACUCACGGAGUUCACAUCAUGGAAUUGUGAUAAUGGCUUAAUACACGUAAAGUGCCUAAGGAUUACCUGGCAUAUAUAAUUCUUCCAA